Molecule: transfer RNA, 71 nt
Filed under: Pelagomonas calceolata
Lineage: Eukaryota; Pelagophyceae; Pelagomonadales; Pelagomonadaceae
Also listed under: 3 other names
Rfam family: tRNA
About the family: Transfer RNA (tRNA) molecules are approximately 80 nucleotides in length. Their secondary structure includes four short double-helical elements and three loops (D, anti-codon, and T loops).
Source: Rfam by way of RNAcentral
GUGAGUAUAUAUUAAAGGUAAAUUUCCUGCCUUCCAAGCAGGCGAUGCCGGUUCGAGUCCGGCUACUCACU